AUUGCUUCUUGGCCUAUUGUCCCAGAUCAAGUGUAGCUUCUGUUCUUAUCAGUUUAAUAUUUGGUAUGUCGUUAAUAUAGGGACCAUGUAUUGAUUUUUGGAACAGAGAGCUGGAACAAGGGCUUGCCCUACCCACUCCAGUGUGUGAGCAAGUUGGGCUGAAGGGCCUGUUUCACACUGUACCAC
Molecule: small nuclear RNA, 186 nt
Organism: Amblyraja radiata (thorny skate)
Lineage: Eukaryota; Metazoa; Chordata; Chondrichthyes; Rajiformes; Rajidae
Product: U2 spliceosomal RNA
Exons: 1
Source: RefSeq, a predicted model, not a curated record